AUGCUCAAAUACUCAACUCCGCAGCUGUUUGACCUCUUCAACCUCACCAUCUCAUCCUGCAUCUCAUUGAUUAAACACCUCGGACUCCUACGCCGACCACGCUACAUCCACAGAGGCUCUCGCCGCAGAUUUAUUUAUUCCCAGCACGGACAAUCCAUUCAAUCCAUCUGCUCAGCUGCACGCCCCGUCGCACCUCUGCCGCGUCAUCAGAGCGCUGCCGUCUGUGGACCUCUUACAUCGCAACCUGCCUGGCAGGAUACAAAACCCGGACUGGACCUCUGUGCUCACCGCCCUCUGAUUACAUCUACCACUUCACCAAACACCAAAACCAAGCUACUCGACGUCCAACCAUCUGCUAAUCCACCUACUGCCCCUCUCCCACUGCACCUCCACCCCUCCCCAGCACCUCCCCUCACUUCUAACCGGGACAACCUCAGACCUUUCUGGCCUGCCCCGAUCACAACACCUUCUUACUCUGCCAACCUUGCGCUACUCAACACCCGAUCACUUAACAAUAAAGCCCCUGCCCUCCAUGAACUAAUCCUCAACAACACCCUGGAUUUCCUUCUCAUCACUGAAACCUGGCAACAACCCAACGACUUCUUCUCCCUCAACCAAGCAUCCCCCCCUGGUUUUAGCUACAUCUCCAAACCCCGCCCCUCCCGCCUCGGAGGUGGACUCGCCGUUAUUUUCAAUCAGAAUUUCCGGAUCUCAGAACUCACCCUCCCCUCAGUAUCAUCCUUUGAAUUCCUUGCCUUCAAAGCACUAUCCUCCACGACAGUUGUCCUCAUCUACCGGCCACCUAAACCAAACCCCUCCUUCCUCUCUGACUUCACCGAGUUCCUCACACUAGCCUCAUCCCUCUCCCCACGUCUGCUGCUACUCGGUGACCUAAACAUCCACAUGGACUCCCCCACCUGCAAACUCUCCAUUGAAUUCACCACUCUCCUGGAAAAUUUAGCACUCACCCAGCAUGUCACCUUCCCCACACACGACAAAGGACACAUCCUCGACCUCGUCUGCACCAUUAACACACCGGUGCUCGACCUCCACUCAUGCCUCUUUCCCCUCUCUGACCAUAAACUCAUACGGUUCAGCAUCCCUUCUCCCACCCCCCCGACCCCGCCUCUCCAGAGAAAUCACCUUCCGCAACCUCAAAUCCAUCGACCCUCACCAUCUCUCUGA
RNAcentral lists this long non-coding RNA (1185 nucleotides) under Scophthalmus maximus (turbot). RNAcentral describes it as "lncRNA (ENSSMAG00000025864.1)". Lineage: Eukaryota; Metazoa; Chordata; Actinopteri; Pleuronectiformes; Scophthalmidae. The record is from RNAcentral.